This 292-nucleotide long non-coding RNA is filed under the name Gossypium barbadense (sea-island cotton). RNAcentral's name for it is "long non-coding RNA (GBAR_LNC010586)". Lineage: Eukaryota; Viridiplantae; Streptophyta; Magnoliopsida; Malvales; Malvaceae. The record is from RNAcentral.
GCGGGGACAUACGAUAUGGGGCCCUAGCUGGCGGCACCAUGUUGGACACCAAUUCGAUCCUAUGAUCUACCUCCCUCUUAGGUGGCAAACUCUUUGGCAACUAUGCAGGCAUCUUAUCCCGAAAAGAUUGUAAUAUUUGGCCCACUUCCUUAGGGAUCUCACCAACAGUCUUAAUGGUUUCCUCUAUCUUCAAAGUGGAUAAGUAGGAGAAUUCAUCUCUACGUACUCCCUUAGCAAAUUGGACUGCGGAUAAUGUUUUUCCUUCCAGGCUCCCCUUUCUUGACACUCUCAC